Tachyglossus aculeatus (Australian echidna) is the source of this 137-nucleotide small nucleolar RNA. NCBI's taxonomy places the organism in Eukaryota, Metazoa, Chordata, Mammalia, Monotremata, Tachyglossidae. The record is from RefSeq and is a predicted model, not a curated record.
CCCCUCUCAGGAUGGCACCUGGAGAGUUUUUAGUACUCUACCAGUCUUAGUACAGGAGGGAGAGAAAAGCAGAGGUGUGUCCAUUCUGUUUCUAGCUUGGGCAGUGGCUAGCUAGUGGAAGGCAAUCUGCUACAAGU